CCUACGGGUGGCAGCAGUGGGGAAUAUUGCACAAUGGGGGAAACCCUGAUGCAGCGACGCCGCGUGAAGGAAGACGUAUUUCUGUAUUUAAACUUCUAUCAGCAGGGAAGUAAAUCACGGUACCUGACUCAGAAUCCCCGGCUAACUACGUGCCAGCAGCCGCGGUAAUACGGAGGGGGCAAGCGUUAUCCGGAUUUACUGGGUGUAAAGGGAGCGUAGGGGGUUUAACAAGUCAGAAGUGAAAGCCCGGGGCUCAACUCCGGGACUGCUUUUGAAACUGUUGGACUAGAUUGCAGGCGAGGUAAGUGGAAUUCGUGGUGUAGCGGUGAAAUGCGUAGAUAUUAGGAAGAACACCAGUGGCGAAGGCAGCUUACUGGACUGUGAAUGACGCUGAGGCUCGAAAGCGUGGGGAGCAAACAGGAUUAGAUACCCCAGUAGUC
Molecule: ribosomal RNA, 440 nt
Filed under: uncultured bacterium
Lineage: Bacteria
Description: partial 16S ribosomal RNA
Rfam family: Bacterial small subunit ribosomal RNA
Source: RNAcentral